GACGAACGCUGGCGGCGUGCUUAACACAUGCAAGUCGAGCGAUGAAACUUCUUCGGAAGUGGAUUAGCGGCGGACGGGUGAGUAACACGUGGGCAACCUGCCUCAUAGUGGGGAAUAGCCUCUCGAAAGGGAGAUUAAUACCGCAUAAGAUUGUGGCUUCGCAUGAAGUAGCAAUUAAAGGAGCAAUCCGCUAUGAGGUGGGCCCGCGGCGCAUUAGCUAGUUGGUGAGGUAACGGCUCACCAAGGCGACGAUGCGUAGCCGACCCGAGAGGGUGAUCGGCCACAUUGGGACUGUGACACGGCCCAGACUCCUACGGGAGGCAGCAGGGUGGAAUAUUGCACAAUGGGGGAAACCCUGAUGCAGCAACGCCGCGUGAGUGAUGACGGCCUUCGGGUUGUAAAGCUCUGUCUUCAGGGACGAUAAUGACGGUACCUGAGGAGGAAGCCACGGCUAACUACGUGCCAGCAGCCGCCGUAA
RNAcentral lists this ribosomal RNA (478 nucleotides) under uncultured bacterium. Its description in RNAcentral is "partial 16S ribosomal RNA". It matches the Rfam family "Bacterial small subunit ribosomal RNA", at positions 28 to 523 of the family's 1533-position model. The record is from RNAcentral.